AACGCAUAUUGCGCUCGAGCCUUCGGGCAAGAGCAUGUCUGCCUCAGCGUCGGUUUAUACCCUCACCCCUCCCAUUUUGUGUGGGUCGGACAACUCAUUGCUAGUUGGCCUACGGGGUGGAGCUGGCCUCCCCAAUCUCCUGUAGAUUGGGCUGGCUGAAGCACAGAGGCUUAAACAAGGACCCGAUAUGGGCUUCAACUGGAUAGGUAGGGCAGGCGUUCGCGCCAAACUACACGAAGUUGUAGCCUGUGGACUUUGUUAGGGGCCAAGCAGGGAACAUGCCUAACCGCAUGUCUAAACUUUCGACCUGAGCUCAGGCAAGGCUACCCGCUGAACUUAA
RNAcentral lists this unclassified non-coding RNA (340 nucleotides) under uncultured soil eukaryote. RNAcentral's name for it is "sequence contains 5.8S rRNA gene, ITS2, 28S rRNA gene". The record is from RNAcentral.